RNAcentral lists this ribosomal RNA (460 nucleotides) under uncultured bacterium. RNAcentral's name for it is "partial 16S ribosomal RNA". It matches the Rfam family "Bacterial small subunit ribosomal RNA", at positions 338 to 795 of the family's 1533-position model. The record is from RNAcentral.
CCUACGGGGAGCAGCAGUGAGGAAUAUUGGUCAAUGGGGGCGAGCCUGAACCAGCCAAGUAGCGUGAAGGAUGACUGCCCUACGGGUUGUAAACUUCUUUUAUAAAGGAAUAAAGUGAGGCACGUGUGCCUUUUUGCAUGUACUUUAUGAAUAAGGAUCGGCUAAUUCCUUGCCAGCAGCCGCGGUAAUACGGAGGAUCCGAGCGUUCUCCGGAUUUAUUGGGUUUAAAGGGAGCGUAGAUGGGUGGUUAAGGAAGUUGUGAAAGUUUGCGGCUCAACCGUAAAAUUGCAAUUGAUACUGGCAGUCUUGAGUACAGUUGAGGUAGGCGGAAUUCGUGGUGUAGCGGUGAAAUGCUUAGAUAUCACGAAGAACUCCGAUUGCGAAGGCAGCUUACUAAACUGCCACUGACGUUGAUGCUCGAAAGUGUGGGUAUCAAACAGGAUUAGAUACCCCAGUAGUC